Long non-coding RNA from Numida meleagris (helmeted guineafowl), 566 nucleotides. RefSeq lists it as uncharacterized. The record is from RefSeq and is a predicted model, not a curated record. The transcript is spliced from 3 exons. Lineage: Eukaryota; Metazoa; Chordata; Aves; Galliformes; Numididae.
UGGAUGGUUGGACUAGGUGAUCUUGUAGGUCUUUUCCAACCUAGCUCAUUCUAUGAUUCUAUGAUUCUAUGAUUCUAUGAUUCUAUGAUUCUAUGAUUGAGAGAACUGAAGCUCCAGCCACUCCUCUCAAGGGGAUCCCAAAUGCUGGAGGGAGGAUGUACCCUCUAUCCCUUAUCUUGGAGCUAGAACAGAAAACCAUUGGAGACAAGAAGAAAUAGAAGAAAGUGGGCCAUGAGCUGGUGGCAUACAGAAUGCCAGAAGGGCAGAGGGUCCACCUGGCCCGACCCCCACUCCUGCAGGGACACCCAGAGCAGUGGGCCCAGGCCCACGUCCAGGAGGAUUCUGCAGAACUCCAAGGAGGAGACCCCACAGCCUCUCUGGGCAGCCUGGGUCUGAAAAGAGCCCAGCUCCAUCCUCUUUGCGCCUCCCUUCAGCACGAUGGUCAGACUUGGCGAUGCUUUCAGCCAGUGGUGAGGAGCAUGUCCACACUGCGUAAUAAAGGAUGUUACAGAGGGCUACCAAACAGAGCUGACUGGAACUGCCUGCUUUACACUGAAGCAAGUACA